This 309-nucleotide ribosomal RNA is filed under the name Lachnospiraceae bacterium C10. RNAcentral describes it as "bacterial LSU rRNA". It matches the Rfam family "Bacterial large subunit ribosomal RNA", at positions 2614 to 2925 of the family's 2925-position model. Lineage: Bacteria; Bacillati; Bacillota; Clostridia; Lachnospirales; Lachnospiraceae. The record is from RNAcentral.
GAACGUCGUGAGACAGUUCGGUCCCUAUCCGGCGCGGGCGGAGGAUAUUUGAGGGGAGCUGACCCUAGUACGAGAGGACCGGGUUGGACGGACCGCUGGUGUACCUGUUGGAGACCAACUCCAUCGCAGGGUAGCCAAGUCUGGAAGGGAUAAACGCUGAAGGCAUCUAAGCGUGAAGCCCACCCCAAGAUGAGAUAUCCCGUCCAAAAGGACAUAAGAUCCCUCAGAGAGUAUGAGGUAGAUAGGGCAGAGGUGUAAGCAGAGUAAUCUGUUCAGCUGACUGUCACUAAUAGAUCGAAGGCUUGAUCA